This 1888-nucleotide ribosomal RNA is filed under the name human gut metagenome. Its description in RNAcentral is "bacterial LSU rRNA". It matches the Rfam family "Bacterial large subunit ribosomal RNA", at positions 900 to 2804 of the family's 2925-position model. The record is from RNAcentral.
AGGUAGAGCACUGAAUGGGCUAGGGGGCCCAAAGCUUACCGAACCCUAUCAAACUUCGAAUGCCAGGAUAUUGAUGUACGGGAGUCAGUCCGCGAGAGAUAAGUUCCGCGGGCAAAAGGGGAACACCCCAGACCCACUGCUAAGGUCCCGAAGUGCGCGUUAAGUGGAGAAGGAUGUGUGAUUGCACAGACAACCAGGAUGUUGGCUCAGAAGCAGCCAUUCAUUCAAAGAGUGCGUAAUAGCUCACUGGUCGAGUGGUCAUGCGCCGAAGAUGUACCGGGGCUCAAACGCGCCACCGAAGCAUGGGAUUCGCGCAAGCGAGUGGUAGAGGAGCAUUGAAUCAGGGCAGAAGCUGGAGCGGGAGCACCAGUGGACUUGAUUCAAGAGAGAAUGCCGGUAUGAGUAGCGAGAGGCAAGCGAGAAACUUGCCCGUCGAAAGCCUAAGGUUUCCUGGGGAAGGUUCAUCCGCCCAGGGUAAGUCGGGACCUAAGCCGAGGACGGAAGUCGUAGGCGAUGGACAGCAGGUUGAGAUUCCUGCACCGCCUUGAGAAUGAUGCAAUGACACAGAAGGAUAGCAUGAGCCGGGUGAUGGUCAACUCGGUUUCCAAAGCGAGGGCGUCUGGUAGUGAAGUACGCCAGACACACAGCCUGAGCCAAAGAGGGAGCGAAAUUCAAGUAGCGAAGCAUGCGAUUUCACGCUGGCGAGAAAAGUUGCUGGUAUAUCGAAGAGGCGCCCGUACCGCAAACCGACGCAGGUAGGCGAGGUGAGAAUCCUAAGACGAACGGGAGAACCCUUGUUAAGGAACUCGGCAAAAUGACCCCGUAACUUCGGGAGAAGGGGUGCCGAUGGAAACAUCGGUCGCAGAGAAAAGGCUCAAGCGACUGUUUAGCAAAAACACAGGUAUCUGCGAAAGCGAGAGCUGACGUAUAGGUGCUGACACCUGCCCGGUGCUGGAAGGUUAAGGGGAAAUGUCAUCGCAAGAGAAGCAUAGAACCGAAGCCCCAGUAAACGGCGGCCGUAACUAUAACGGUCCUAAGGUAGCGAAAUUCCUUGUCGGGUAAGUUCCGACCCGCACGAAUGGUGUAACGAUUUGAGCGCUGUCUCAACAGGGGGCCCGGUGAAAUUGAAGUAUGGGUGAAGAUGCCCAUUACCCGCGACUGGACGGAAAGACCCCGUAGAGCUUGACUGUAGCCUGAUAUUGGAUUUCGGUAACGGAUGCACAGGAUAGGUGGGAGGCUUGGAAGCCAGGACUCCGGUCUUGGUGGAGCCACCGUUGGGAUACCACUCUUCUGUUGCUGGAAUUCUAACAUGGCGCCGUGAAACCGGUGAAUGGACAGUGUCAGGUGGGCAGUUUGACUGGGGCGGUCGCCUCCGAAAGAGUAACGGAGGCGCCCAAAGGUACCCUCAGAAUGGAUGGAAACCAUUCAAAGAGUGUAAAGGCAGAAGGGUGCUUGACUGUGAGAGUGACAACUCGAUCAGAUACGAAAGUAGGGCUUAGUGAUCCGGCGGUAUUGAGUGGAAAAGCCGUCGCUUAACGGAUAAAAGCUACCUCGGGGAUAACAGGCUGAUCUCCCCCAAGAGUCCACAUCGACGGGGAGGUUUGGCACCUCGAUGUCGGCUCGUCGCAUCCUGGGGCUGAAGCAGGUCCCAAGGGUUUGGCUGUUCGCCAAUUAAAGCGGCACGCGAGCUGGGUUCAGAACGUCGUGAGACAGUUCGGUCCCUAUCCAUCGUGGGCGUAGGAAUCAUGAGAGGGGCUGUUCCUAGUACGAGAGGACCGGAAUGGACGCACCACUGGUGCAACUGUUGUCGUGCCAACGGCAUAGCAGGGAAGCGAAGUGCGGAUGGGAUAAACGCUGAAGGCAUCUAAGCGUGAAGCCCACCUCGAGA